UAUAACAACACUAUUCUAAUCAUGGGAUUAGAAUAACUAUUUGCAUCACAGCGCCCCUUAUAGAAGCAGACGAUGAUGUUCCCGAACUCCACACAAGAAGAAAAAAUGAACCCACCCUGAACCCCACUCUCCCCACCUCCUGUGACCAACUUGUUCGAUCCCAUCCCCCGCCGCCGCGGGCCGGCGAGCAAACUCGCCCCGUACGGUGAACCCCGCCGCCGCGCGCCGCUCGCCCACCGUAGUGCGCCCCGUCAACCUCCGCCAUCGUGGGUCGCCCAUCCACCGCGUCUCACCUGGAAAACCCGGCCACCGCACGCUUCCCAACCAUCGCGUCGCGCGCCGCCAUCCACACCGCCGCGCGCGUCUGUAAUCCCCGCCUCCAUGACUCCUCCUUUGUCGUUCCAUUCUGCGGCAGCAAAUUUCGACGGCCAUCCCAUUGAACAGCUUGGAUCCAGGGCGUCAGCGAGCAACUGCACCCCCACAGUCGCGCGACACCCUAGCAGGUGCAGGGGGGACGAGAGGGACGAAGACGUGGCAAAGGAGCUCCAGUUCGAUCUGCUCGGCCGCCGGCGGAGGAGCGGAGCCCCCUGCGCGCAGGUCUAGCCUGAUUCUUCUCGUCCUCCUCGUGCGUUUAGAGGCCUCCCACGCUCGAGCUCCUACAGGUGAUAGGCAUCUCGUUCUUGCCGAUUGUUGUUGCCGCCACUGAGCUUCUCUGAUUCACCACUAUUAUUUGCAAUUCGCCCAUGCCUCUGUUUCUCUGGACCAGAAGAAAGAGAGAAGUUCAUCCUAGCCGAGAGACACAGUUGAGUGGACACGAGCAGGCAAGGUGCUUCUCCUAUCACGUCUCCUGGCAGAACUGGAAAUCUAGUCAGCGUGCAGGUUCUUGUGCAGGUGGGUGUGCUGGUGUAGUUUUUCAGUUGACGAUCUAGCUAGCGCACUUUUUUCAGGUUGGCACCGUUCAGUUUGAAAAGGUACAUCAGUUCAUUUAGUGAAUACGCCACCAAUUAAAUUUGGAAAGUACACUGUUAAGCACUUCUCCAUCUAGAUUUGUUCUUGUUUAUGCCCCUCAAAGUAGAUGAUUCCUCGUAGCUGAACUGUCAAAAGUCUAUACUACAUUUUUUUGUAACUUCAGUGUAAUGAGCAGAUGAGGGCACCAGCAACGGACCAGCGGCGACUGAGCCUUCUCUCAUCCAGAUCCCCGCGGACGUGUGUCCUCAAUGCCAUGAGUUGGCCCUGCUCAACCUCUGUCUCCAGGACGAAGAUGAUGUCCACGGUGCUGCCCAGCGGGAAGGGCAACAAAAAAGUUGCAAAAAAUGCUAGUGCAGCUGAUUGCCUCCUCUGUGUUGCGAUGUACUAUGUUGUGUAGAUUUUUUGAAGUUCAUGUUGUGAACCCAACUAAGUUUGAGCACAAAAGUUUAGAUGUCGACUGGUGUGAAUUUUCUCCUAUAGCAGAAAUCUCGCUUCCUUACUGUUGUACUAUGUCCACUUGUGUGUUGUUUGUCAAUGCUUUUUUUGAAGUACAGUA
Non-coding RNA from Aegilops tauschii subsp. strangulata, 1525 nucleotides. The record is from RefSeq and is a predicted model, not a curated record. NCBI's taxonomy places the organism in Eukaryota, Viridiplantae, Streptophyta, Magnoliopsida, Poales, Poaceae.